Molecule: ribosomal RNA, 508 nt
Filed under: uncultured bacterium
Lineage: Bacteria
Description: partial 16S ribosomal RNA
Rfam family: Bacterial small subunit ribosomal RNA
Source: RNAcentral
AUUGAACGCUGGCGGCAUGCCUUACACAUGCAAGUCGAACGGCAGCGGGGGAGAAGCUUGCUUUUCCUGCCGGCGAGUGGCGAACGGGUGAGUAAUACAUCGGAACGUGCCCUGUAGUGGGGGAUAACUAGUCGAAAGAUUAGCUAAUACCGCAUACGACCUGAGGGUGAAAGGGGGGGACCGCAAGGCCUCAUGCUAUAGGAGCGGCCGAUGUCUGAUUAGCUAGUUGGUGGGGUAAAGGCCUACCAAGGCGACGAUCAGUAGCUGGUCUGGGAGGACGAUCAGCCACACGGGGACGGAGACACGGCCCAGACUCCUACGGGAGGCAGCAGUGGGGAAUUUUGGACAAUGGGCGAAAGCCUGAUCCAGCAAUGCCGCGUGUGUGAAGAAGGCCUUCGGGUUGUAAAGCACUUUUGUCCGGAAAGAAAUGGCUCUGGUUAAUACCUGGGGUCGAUGACGGUACCGGAAGAAUAAGGACCGGCUAACUACGUGCCAGCAGCCGCCGCCG